This 460-nucleotide ribosomal RNA is filed under the name uncultured bacterium. RNAcentral describes it as "partial 16S ribosomal RNA". It matches the Rfam family "Bacterial small subunit ribosomal RNA", at positions 338 to 795 of the family's 1533-position model. The record is from RNAcentral.
CCUACGGGUGGCAGCCGUGAGGAAUAUUGGUCAAUGGGCGCGAGCCUGAACCAGCCAAGUAGCGUGAAGGAUGACUGCCCUACGGGUUGUAAACUUCUUUUAUAAAGGAAUAAAGUGAGGCACGUGUGCCUUUUUGUAUGUACUUUAUGAAUAAGGAUCGGCUAACUCCGUGCCAGCAGCCGCGGUAAUACGGAGGAUCCGAGCGUUAUCCGGAUUUAGUGGGGUUAAAGGGAGCGUAGAUGGGUUGUUAAGUCAGUUGUGAAAGUUUGCGGCUCAACCGUAAAAUUGCAAUUGAUACUGGCAGUCUUGAUUACAGUUGAGGUAGGCUGAAUUCGUGGUGUAGCGGUGUAAUGCUUAGAUCUCACGAAGAACUCCGAUUGCGAAGGCAGCUUACUAAACUGCCACUGACAUUGAUGCUCGAAAGUGUGGGUAUCAAACAGGAUUAGAUACCCGAGUAGUC